Long non-coding RNA from Octopus sinensis (East Asian common octopus), 105 nucleotides. RefSeq lists it as uncharacterized. The transcript has 3 exons. NCBI's taxonomy places the organism in Eukaryota, Metazoa, Mollusca, Cephalopoda, Octopoda, Octopodidae. The record is from RefSeq and is a predicted model, not a curated record.
AAGAAGGAAGAAAAUAAACAGAUAGAUACAACCCUCUUAAGUACGAAAUAGCCCGGCUAUGGAAAAUGGUAAAGGUGAAGACAGUGCCAAUUAUUAUGGGUCCUU